This 253-nucleotide ribosomal RNA is filed under the name uncultured bacterium. RNAcentral's name for it is "partial 16S ribosomal RNA". It matches the Rfam family "Bacterial small subunit ribosomal RNA", at positions 524 to 776 of the family's 1533-position model. The record is from RNAcentral.
UACAGAGGUGGCAAGCGUUGUUCGGAAUUACUGGGCGUAAAGGGCGCGUAGGCGGCCUUCUAAGUCAGACGUGAAAUCCCCCGGCUUAACCUGGGAACUGCGUCUGAUACUGCAGGACUUGAGGCUGGGAGGGGCUGGUGGAAUUCCCUGUGUAGCGGUGAAAUGCGUAGAGAUGGGGGAGAACACUCGUGGCGAAGGCGGCCAGCUAGACCAGUUCUGACACUGAGGCGCGACAGCGUGGGGAGCAAACAGG